GGUGAGACAGAUCAGAAGCCAUUAAAGAAAUAUUUGGAACCGGAGUUUUCAGAACGUGUGACAGUUUUUAGACAAAGGAGCAGUUUGAAAUAAGGGGUUUCACUCCUAAGACUGAUGUAAAAAUAUAAGUAGUGAAUGAGGAAGUGUUUAGACUUGACACUGCCAGAAAACAGUAGUUUACUGGAGACACCCCUACAUCUUUUUAUCCAAAAGAUUAGAAGGCUGAACUACAGCUACUAUGGGAACAAAGGCCAUUGUUUCGGGGAUUCUCUUGUACUAAGGAAAGUUCAUCUGACAAUGUCUAAAGAGAAUCGCUCUGGCUUCAGACUUCCAGACAGCAUCUCUUUGGCCCCUAGAUUGCUAUGUGACUUCGCUGCCUUCCUGGAGAGUCCCUUUGUAGUCAGAACCCAAUGAAAUAGGGGGUAGUAGCCCUCCCUGCUCGACCCUCCCCACCACCAUCCCAAAGGAAACAGAAGACGAAACACAGCAAGAGUGUUCGAGCCCUUCUCUCAGCUACAAGAAUCUUCGGGUUUUAACGUCAUGGCCAGGCAAGGAACUGAUAACCACCCGCCUUCCCAACUCUUGCCUCAUUUCUCAAUAGUUGGCCAAGCAGUCUUCCUGGUAAAUACUUAAAUAAUUC
This is a long non-coding RNA of Peromyscus leucopus (white-footed mouse), 640 nucleotides long. RefSeq lists it as uncharacterized. Lineage: Eukaryota; Metazoa; Chordata; Mammalia; Rodentia; Cricetidae. The transcript is spliced from 2 exons. The record is from RefSeq and is a predicted model, not a curated record.